Uranotaenia lowii is the source of this 1131-nucleotide long non-coding RNA. RefSeq lists it as uncharacterized. The record is from RefSeq and is a predicted model, not a curated record. The transcript has 4 exons. Lineage: Eukaryota; Metazoa; Arthropoda; Insecta; Diptera; Culicidae.
UAUACGUUCAUCAUAACUAAUCGAUUGAUGCUCAAUAUUUGUAUACCCCCAAUUCAAUUUUGAGUAGUUUUGGGUGGACAAUAUACAAAUGAAAACUAAAUCUCGAUUAUUCAUGCUCUGAAUAAAAAGUUUGCUGUUGUUGGAAUUUUAUUUGAAGGGGUGUCAGAGCGGAAAAAAACAAAAAGUUUUGAAACUUUUUGGUGGUAUAUCGCGGACGUUGUAAGGUGCGAACCAGUUCCGACGAAGCUCUAAGCAAGAAAAGGUACGGAAAGGUAAGGCGCAGAAUAUCCGCGUCGGUAUGGAACGGAAGAACCUGAGAAACGAGUUCGAUCUGACCGGGGAAAUUCUCGGAAUCAAUCCGUACAUUGCCACCCUGUGGAUCUUUCGGCGGAUGUGGAUCAAACGGCAUGAGUAAGUCCAUUGUAUCUUUUUUUUUUCUUUGAUGUAAGAUUUCGAGCUUAUAAAAUUUUUCUUAUUAGAUGAACUAUCAACUUCAUUUAUUUCCAGGAAAAUGCAAAAUAAAAAUAAAAAACGGCAAGUGAACCAGAAAUUGUACUGUGCCUGUAUCACCGGUGUUGGAUUCUGGAAACGCUCCGACGGACCCAAGAAACUAUAAGUCGAUUUCUUCUCACGGCAUUUACUGUCAUUUUCGGAUAAUCAACGAUAGGUUGCAAAACAAACUGUUCCCAAAGUUCAGCUGAACUUAUAAACCGAUACCGAUACGAUUCAGAACAGCAUUUCCAGCUACUCAUCGUGCCACUACCGAAGGAAGCUGCUUCGGUGCUUGAUUUCCAACAUUCAAUCGGCGGCUUCAUAUUCAUUCAUUCAACACUUCGCGUAUACUGCAUUCCCAUACAAACAUCUAAACUUCAUACUGCAAGCUUGACGGAAGAGUCUUUUAAUUCUGGUCAUCUCAUCGGAACUUUUUUAAAAGAUCCUCGAUUCCCCCUGGGCCCCCUCUAGGUUAGGCAACAUGUUGAUGUGGUCCGUACCGGAUGUUCAAACGAAUGUCUUACCAGUUGAACCUUGAACCAUGUUUGGUGUUACGUUUGUUGCGGAUCUAAAUGAGAAAGAACAUUCCGGCAUUAGAAUUACCGGUAUUAUGUGUAUUUGACAAUAAAUAUUUUAUAG